Molecule: long non-coding RNA, 263 nt
Filed under: Medicago truncatula (barrel medic)
Lineage: Eukaryota; Viridiplantae; Streptophyta; Magnoliopsida; Fabales; Fabaceae
Description: long non-coding RNA (MTRU_LNC003051)
Source: RNAcentral
CCAAGGUUUAUGAAAUUGAAGCGAGGAUCUCAAGUAAUGGAUGAAACAUGAUUUAUAGGUACCUUAAUGUUAGUAGUAGUUUACUCGUAGAUUCAGUUCACAAAAUUGCACUAGUCGAAAACUUAAUUAGGACUCUGUUACCAUAUAAGGUGAAUCAUAACAUGUCAUUAAGCAAGCCAUCUCUAACUCAUCGUCACCAAUGAUAAGAGCGAGCCAUGGUGAUAAGAUGAAAUGAUUACAGUUUGGUUCACUUUAUAUGUAGG